This 370-nucleotide non-coding RNA is filed under the name Sporosarcina sp. HYO08. RNAcentral describes it as "cspA thermoregulator". It matches the Rfam family "cspA thermoregulator", at positions 134 to 428 of the family's 428-position model. The record is from Rfam by way of RNAcentral. Lineage: Bacteria; Bacillati; Bacillota; Bacilli; Caryophanales; Caryophanaceae.
AAUCUGUUAUGAUAGAGGAGAAUUAUUUUUGUUCGGUACGAAGGUCUCGAUUACUUCUUGACCGCUUCAAGACUUGAGCAAGGAUAGUAACACAAUGUGUGCAAGUGCGCACGAGGAGGAAACAAACAUGGAACAAGGUAAAGUAAAAUGGUUUAACGCAGAAAAAGGUUUUGGAUUCAUCGAGCGUGAAGAUGGCGACGACGUAUUCGUACACUUCUCAGCAAUCCAAGGCGAAGGCUUCAAAACUCUUGAAGAAGGCCAGGACGUAUCUUUCGAAAUCGAGCAAGGUCAACGCGGUCUACAAGCUACAAACGUUACAAAAAACUAAUUUGACUUUUGAAAUCCACUUCCUUCGGGGAGUGGAUUUUUU